UAUUUUAUUUCUAAGCUCGCUGUUUAGAUGACCUCGUAGAGUGGACACAGGUUAUUCGUUGGGGAUAGCACCCAAAACCUACACGAGGACAUGUCCCACCGCACCAGUGUUGAUGGGGCACAGAGACAGACUUUACAAAAAUGUGGGCUUAUGUAUUUGUUUUCUCAGCCUGGCUCCAGCUCAAAGGAUGUCAGUCAGUGAUCUGCGAGGGACAGAGAGAGGCCCCUGGUGGCAGAGCUGUCCCCAUACCACAACCAUGUGUGCUGAGGUCGUACUGGUCCCAGUUUGCAGGGGAAGACUCCGUUCUGAAGCGAACAAAGCAGCAGUCCAUACGGUCCACAGUCCCCCACUCUGCCCACUUCCAGUGUUGACUCCCAGGCCCAAGAGAGACAAGGAUGUUGACCCCACCUGCAGUGCACCAACACGGGGCCCAUUUCUGGCAUCCGGGCUGCCGAGGAUCUCCUCACAAAGGAGAAAGGUGGAAACAAGAGGUCGGUAAGCAGAAGGUGCACGUUCUGAAGAAAUACAUAAGGGUAGAGGAAACAGGACCUUCCAUUUCAUCUGCCCCAACUACUGUUCCUGAGCGAGGCACAACACGACAGAAGAAAGCCGAGUGAAAACAAGAGAUUUAACUAUAAAACAAAACUUAAACAAAACACCCCAAGUUGAUAUAUCCAGAACUCUUGGGAGAUAGAACAGGGUAAAUCUCCUGCUGCCUGGAGUCAAUGAGGUCACUACUUCAAUGAGAGUCUGGAGGGCAUUGAAGUUAAGCAUGGACUUGAGUCAGAUCGUGGUCUUAAAACCUGACUUCUGCCAUUUCACAACUAAGCCACC
Suricata suricatta (meerkat) is the source of this 834-nucleotide long non-coding RNA. RefSeq lists it as uncharacterized. NCBI's taxonomy places the organism in Eukaryota, Metazoa, Chordata, Mammalia, Carnivora, Herpestidae. The transcript has 5 exons. The record is from RefSeq and is a predicted model, not a curated record.